Molecule: ribosomal RNA, 244 nt
Filed under: uncultured bacterium
Lineage: Bacteria
Description: partial 16S ribosomal RNA
Rfam family: Bacterial small subunit ribosomal RNA
Source: RNAcentral
UGAAGCGGAGCAAAUACUCAAAAACCGGUACCCAGUUCGGAUUGUAGGCUGCAACUCGCCUACAUGAAGUCGGAGUUGCUAGUAAUCGCGGAUCAGAAUGCCGCGGUGAAUGCGUUCCCGGGUCUUGUACACACCGCCCGUCACACCAUGGGAGUCGGAAAUGCCCGAAGUCUGUGACCCAACCUACGGGAGGGAGCAGCCGAAGGCAGGUCGGAUGACUGGGGUGAAGUCGUAACAAGGUACC